UGGGGAAUUUUGGACAAUGGGCGAAAGCCUGAUCCAGCAAUGCCGCGUGUGUGAAGAAGGCCUUCGGGUUGUAAAGCACUUUUGUCCGGAAAGAAAUCCUUGGCUCUAAUACAGUCGGGGGAUGACGGUACCGGAAGAAUAAGCACCGGCUAACUACGUGCCAGCAGCCGCGGUAAUACGUAGGGUGCAAGCGUUAAUCGGAAUUACUGGGCGUAAGCGUGCGCAGGCGGUUUGCUAAGACCGAUGUGAAAUCCCCGGGCUCAACCUGGGAACUGCAUUGGUGACUGGCAGGCUAGAGUAUGGCAGAGGGGGGUAGAAUUCCACGUGUAGCAGUGAAAUGCGUAGAGAUGUGGAGGAAUACCGAUGGCGAAGGCAGCCCCCUGGGCCAAUACUGACGCUCAUGCACGAAAGCGUGGGGAGCAAACAGGAUUAGAUACCCUGGUAGUCCACGCCCUAAACGAUGUCAACUAGUUGUGGGGAUUCAUUUCCUUAGUAACGUAGCUAACGCGUGAAGUUGACCGCCUGGGGAGUACGGUCGCAAGAUUAAAACUCAAAGGAAUUGACGGGGUCAUAGCUGUUUCC
RNAcentral lists this ribosomal RNA (582 nucleotides) under uncultured bacterium. RNAcentral's name for it is "partial 16S ribosomal RNA". It matches the Rfam family "Bacterial small subunit ribosomal RNA", at positions 355 to 937 of the family's 1533-position model. The record is from RNAcentral.